This 463-nucleotide ribosomal RNA is filed under the name uncultured bacterium. RNAcentral's name for it is "bacterial SSU rRNA". It matches the Rfam family "Bacterial small subunit ribosomal RNA", at positions 917 to 1382 of the family's 1533-position model. The record is from RNAcentral.
GGGCCCGCACAAGCGGAGGAACAUGUGGUUUAAUUCGAUGAUACGCGAGGAACCUUACCCGGGCUUGAAUUGCAACCGAAUGGGUCAGAGACGGCCCAGCCGCAAGGCGGUUGUGAAGGUGCUGCAUGGUUGUCGUCAGCUCGUGCCGUGAGGUGUCGGCUUAAGUGCCAUAACGAGCGCAACCCUUAUCUUCAGUUACCAGCGGGCAAAGCCGGGGACUCUGGAGAGACUGCCGUCGUAAGAUGUGAGGAAGGUGGGGAUGACGUCAAAUCAGCACGGCCCUUACGUCCGGGGCUACACACGUGUUACAAUGGGGGGUACAGAAGGCAGCUACCGCGCGAGCGGCGGCUAAUCCCGAAAGCCUCUCUCAGUUCGGACUGGAGUCUGCAACCCGACUCCACGAAGCUGGAUUCGCUAGUAAUCGCGCAUCAGCCAUGGCGCGGUGAAUACGUUCCCGGGCCUU